RNAcentral lists this ribosomal RNA (484 nucleotides) under uncultured bacterium. RNAcentral's name for it is "partial 16S ribosomal RNA". It matches the Rfam family "Bacterial small subunit ribosomal RNA", at positions 30 to 507 of the family's 1533-position model. The record is from RNAcentral.
AUUGAACGCUGGCGGCAGGCCUAACACAUGCAAGUCGAGCGGAUGAAGGGAGCUUGCUCCUGGAUUCAGCGGCGGACGGGUGAGUAAUGCCUAGGAAUCUGCCUGGUAGUGGGGGAUAACGUCCGGAAACGGGCGCUAAUACCGCAUACGUCCUGAGGGAGAAAGUGGGGGAUCUUCGGACCUCACGCUAUCAGAUGAGCCUAGGUCGGAUUAGCUAGUUGGUGGGGUAAAGGCCUACCAAGGCGACGAUCCGUAACUGGUCUGAGAGGAUGAUCAGUCACACUGGAAGUGGGACACGGUCCAGACUCCUACGGGAGGCAGCAGUGGGGAAUAGUGGACAAUGGGCGAAAGCCUGAUCCAGCCAUGCCGCGUGUGUGAAGAAGGUCUUCGGAUUGGAAAGCACUUUAAGUUGGGAGGAAGGGCAGUAAGUUAAUACCUUGCUGUUUUGACGUUACCAACAGAAUAAGCACCGGCUAACUUCGUG